GGCCUCCCUCUGUGGGGUGAUCGAUCGUAGAGCUCCACGAUCGAUUGCCCAGCAGAGGGAGGUC
RNAcentral lists this microRNA precursor (64 nucleotides) under Myotis lucifugus (little brown bat). RNAcentral describes it as "mir-9242 microRNA precursor family". It matches the Rfam family "mir-9242 microRNA precursor family". Lineage: Eukaryota; Metazoa; Chordata; Mammalia; Chiroptera; Vespertilionidae. The record is from Rfam by way of RNAcentral.